UACAGAGGUCCCGAGCGUUGUUCGGAUUCACUGGGCGUAAAGGGUGCGUAGGUGGCUUGAUAAGUUUGAUGUGAAAGCUCAGGGCUUAACCCUGAAAUGGCAUUGAAAACUGUCGGGCUGGAGGUUUGGAGGGGGGACUGGAAUUCUUAGUGUAGCAGUGAAAUGCGUAGAUAUCAAGAGGAACACCAGUGGCGAAGGCGAGUCCCUGGACAACACCUGACACUGAGGCACGAAAGCUAGGGGAGCAAACAGG
Molecule: ribosomal RNA, 253 nt
Filed under: uncultured bacterium
Lineage: Bacteria
Description: partial 16S ribosomal RNA
Rfam family: Bacterial small subunit ribosomal RNA
Source: RNAcentral